Molecule: ribosomal RNA, 256 nt
Filed under: uncultured bacterium
Lineage: Bacteria
Description: partial 16S ribosomal RNA
Rfam family: Bacterial small subunit ribosomal RNA
Source: RNAcentral
UGGGCCCACGGGACACAGCAGUGGGGAAUAUUGGGCAAUGGGCGCAAGCCUGACCCAGCAACGCCGCGUGAAGGAAGAAGGCUUUCGGGUUGUAAACUUCUUUUGUCAGGGACGAAGCAAGUGACGGUACCUGACGAAUAAGCCACGGCUAACUACGUGCCAGCAGCCGCGGUAAUACGUAGGUGGCAAGCGUUAUCCGGAUUUAUUGGGUGUAAAGGGCGUGUAGGCGGGAAUGCAAGUCAGAUGUGAAAACUAU